UGUGUGUUAAAAAAAAAACCUGGCCGUGAUCUGAGAGCAGAGGCAGAAGAGUAGAAGAGUGUGCGUGAGGAGGAGCGCAGUGCAGCUGGGGGAUUUUUUCUGGACAGUAGGGGGCUUCCCUCCGGCUCACGCUCAGGAUAAAGGCGCGAGGCAUCAAGAGCGAAAGUAAAAUGAGUGAAGAGCUCGAGGACAGCAGAUUGGGGGGGUGUGAACACAUCUGCUGAAAUACAGCGAGCUGGAUUCAGUGAACGCAGGCGGAUAAUUACAGCGGAACAGAGAGAGAGACAGAGAGAGAGAGCACGAGGCUGAAUGGAGCUGUGCGCUCAUCUGGAGGAAGAGCUGCUGCUGACUGUGUGGAGCAACUGGCUCACAGGACCAUGAGGAUAUGACCUUGGAUGGUUACCAAAAAGACGUGAUGCGCAACAAAACUUGGACAUGCUGGAUUUUUUUUGCUGGAUUUGUUUUGAGCCUGGGUGUUGCUCGGGAUUGCAAUUUUUUAUUUAAAAAUCACAUAACUGAUGAAUUGUUAUUGGAUCAUUGGUUUGAGAUCCGAUAUUUUCAGCACCCUGAUGAGACAGUCAAGGACGGCUAUACUCUUCUUUCCAUUGUUAACAUAAUGUGUACCAGCUUGAAGAAGUAUGGCCAUGACUAUGAUGACCUUGAAAAAAAUGAAAGUCGUAGACAGGUUACAGUGUCAUACAGAAUAUUAGUUAAUAAAAUUCUAAAUCUUGAAAGCAAAGACGACAUUCCGGCAGCCUGUGAGAGGCAUGCCUGCAACUACUCUUUCAGUAAAAGUUAUAUCAGCCCAGAUGAGCUGGAGAAAGAGUUUCGUAAAGAAUGUGCAUGGAAUGGAACAUUGCCAGCUUGUCCAUCGCCACAGACUACAUCUCCUUCACCAUCACAAGUCAGCCAUGCAACAUCUACACCUUCACCUACCAAUUCACCAACAUCUACUCCAUCUCAUACUACCACCCACCAAAGCACGAGAACAACGACAUCAUUGUCAUCACAACCCAGGAAUAUGACCUCCCCAUCUGCAUCUAACAAUACAAAGACACCUCCAGCAUAUCAGCCAACGUCUUCUACUAACGUCACAGAAAACAGUGGAAAUAUGCAAAAGAAUCAAGCAGAUCUGGAAAAAAACAACCUGGAAAAAAACAAAGAUAAUAUUUUCUUAUCAUUAUUGACUGUAUCCUGUACGGUCAAUGUUGCUUUGAUUAUCCUUGUGUUGUGGCAGUGCAGGAGCAGGCGUCCAAAUAAUCUUCAGGUAAGAUAUUUAUUUAAAUUCCUUACAUUUAUGUGUUUUUUUUGUGUGGAAGGUGACAUAGAGUACCAGUUGAAAGUCUGCAUUGUAGAUUAAUACUAAAGUCACUCAAACUAUGAAGAGAAUUGUAUACAAAAAAGUGUUAAAUAUUAUUUUACAACCUAUUUCAAUGUCCAUUGCUUCAUUUACAUGCACUGGUUUUGUUCAUAAGGACAAAAAAAAUCAGUAUGUCCAGUUGAGUUUGUCAUUGUCAUUGUGGUGAAGAUUUCGGUGAAAAUAGAUUGACUCAGGAGGAAGAUGGUGGCUUCCGUGGUAACAAGUUUCUCUGAACUUGUUCUACUUAAUCUUCUCUUUAUUUUCCUUAAAUAAACCACUGCUACUUGUUCA
RNAcentral lists this long non-coding RNA (1651 nucleotides) under Astyanax mexicanus (Mexican tetra). RNAcentral's name for it is "lncRNA (ENSAMXG00005020928.1)". The record is from RNAcentral. Lineage: Eukaryota; Metazoa; Chordata; Actinopteri; Characiformes; Acestrorhamphidae.